This 239-nucleotide long non-coding RNA is filed under the name Homo sapiens (human). RNAcentral describes it as "HSALNT0020932". Lineage: Eukaryota; Metazoa; Chordata; Mammalia; Primates; Hominidae. The record is from RNAcentral.
GGUGCCCUUCCCUGGACCUUCUCCAGACCUCUUUGAUCUUGAGAUGUGGCAUCCAGAACUUCCUAGAGUGCUCCAGGUGACACUGCACCACAGUUGUGCAUAUUGAGAAGGAAGGGGAAUGGUGAUAGCACAUAGAUUGUCCUAGUCUCACUGGACAGGAAAUAUCUUCCAAGAAAGAGUUGAUGAUGUCUCCUCAGGCACAGGAAGCGGAGAGAUGGUUUGGUUCUUAGAACAGGGUG